CCGGCAUCGAGCGAGGCAGGUUAGCGAUGCCCCGCGAGAGGGAAUCCGGUGGGAAUCCGGAACUGUCCCGCAGCGGUAUGCAGGAACGACCGCCGUCAACAGCACUGGUCGCACGACUGGGAAGCGACGGCCAUUAGGAGCACCACCACCGGUGCGCGCCUGCGAGUCCGAAGACCUGCCAGCCGUGCCGGGCGCGC
This 197-nucleotide non-coding RNA is filed under the name Mycobacterium kansasii. Lineage: Bacteria; Bacillati; Actinomycetota; Actinomycetes; Mycobacteriales; Mycobacteriaceae. The record is from RNAcentral.